GCCCCGUACACAAAAAUGCACAUAUUGUGAGCUCGAUGAGUAGGGCGGGACACGUGGUAUCCUGUCUGAAUAUGGGGGGACCAUCCUCCAAGGCUAAAUACUCCUGACUGACCGAUAGUGAACCAGUACCGUGAGGGAAAGGCGAAAAGAACCCCGGCGAGGGGAGUGAAAAAGAACCUGAAACCGUGUACGUACAAGCAGUGGGAGCCUCUUAAUGGGGUGACUGCGUACCUUUUGUAUAAUGGGUCAGCGACUUAUAUUCUGUAGCAAGGUUAACCGAAUAGGGGAGCCGAAGGGAAACCGAGUCUUAACUGGGCGUUAAGUUGCAGGGUAUAGACCCGAAACCCGGUGAUCUAGCCAUGGGCAGGUUGAAGGUUGGGUAACACUAACUGGAGGACCGAACCGACUAAUGUUGAAAAAUUAGCGGAUGACUUGUGGCUGGGGGUGAAAGGCCAAUCAAACCGGGAGAUAGCUGGUUCUCCCCGAAAGCUAUUUAGGUAGCGCCUCGUGAAUUCAUCUCCGGGGGUAGAGCACUGUUUCGGCAAGGGGGUCAUCCCGACUUACCAACCCGAUGCAAACUGCGAAUACCGGAGAAUGUUAUCACGGGAGACACACGGCGGGUGCUAACGUCCGUCGUGAAGAGGGAAACAACCCAGACCGCCAGCUAAGGUCCCAAAGUCAUGGUUAAGUGGGAAACGAUGUGGGAAGGCCCAGACAGCCAGGAUGUUGGCUUAGAAGCAGCCAUCAUUUAAAGAAAGCGUAAUAGCUCACUGGUCGAGUCGGCCUGCGCGGAAGAUGUAACGGGGCUAAACCAUGCACCGAAGCUGCGGCAGCGACACUAUGUGUUGUUGGGUAGGGGAGCGUUCUGUAAGCCUGUGAAGGUGUACUGUGAGGUAUGCUGGAGGUAUCAGAAGUGCGAAUGCUGACAUAAGUAACGAUAAAGCGGGUGAAAAGCCCGCUCGCCGGAAGACCAAGGGUUCCUGUCCAACGUUAAUCGGGGCAGGGUGAGUCGACCCCUAAGGCGAGGCCGAAAGGCGUAGUCGAUGGGAAACAGGUUAAUAUUCCUGUACUUGGUGUUACUGCGAAGGGGGGACGGAGAAGGCUAUGUUGGCCGGGCGACGGUUGUCCCGGUUUAAGCGUGUAGGCUGGUUUUCCAGGCAAAUCCGGAAAAUCAAGGCUGAGGCGUGAUGACGAGGCACUACGGUGCUGAAGCGACAAAUGCCCUGCUUCCAGGAAAAGCCUCUAAGCAUCAGGUAACAUCAAAUCGUACCCCAAACCGACACAGGUGGUCAGGUAGAGAAUACCAAGGCGCUUGAGAGAACUCGGGUGAAGGAACUAGGCAAAAUGGUGCCGUAACUUCGGGAGAAGGCACGCUGAUAUGUAGGUGAAGCGACUUGCUCG
This 1401-nucleotide ribosomal RNA is filed under the name Escherichia coli. RNAcentral describes it as "partial 23S ribosomal RNA". It matches the Rfam family "Bacterial large subunit ribosomal RNA", at positions 370 to 1776 of the family's 2925-position model. The record is from RNAcentral. Lineage: Bacteria; Pseudomonadati; Pseudomonadota; Gammaproteobacteria; Enterobacterales; Enterobacteriaceae.